UACGUAGGGGGCAAGCGUUGUCCGGAUUUAUUGGGCGUAAAGAGCGUGUAGGCGGCUUUACAGGUCCGUUGUGAAAACUCGAGGCUCAACCUCGAGACGCCGGUGGAAACCGUAAAGCUAGAGUCCGGAAGAGGAGAGUGGAAUUCCUGGUGUAGCGGUGAAAUGCGCAGAUAUCAGGAAGAACACCCGUGGCGAAGGCGGGUCUCUGGACAGUUCCUGACGCUGAGGCACGAAGGCCAGGGGAGCGAACAGG
This 253-nucleotide ribosomal RNA is filed under the name uncultured bacterium. RNAcentral describes it as "partial 16S ribosomal RNA". It matches the Rfam family "Bacterial small subunit ribosomal RNA", at positions 524 to 776 of the family's 1533-position model. The record is from RNAcentral.